UAGGGAAUCUUCCACAAUGGACGCAAGUCUGAUGGAGCAACGCCGCGUGAGUGAAGAAGGUUUUCGGAUCGUAAAGCUCUGUUGUUGGUGAAGAAGGAUAGAGGCAGUAACUGGUCUUUAUUUGACGGUAAUCAACCAGAAAGUCACGGCUAACUACGUGCCAGCAGCCGCGGUAAUACGUAGGUGGCAAGCGUUGUCCGGAUUUAUUGGGCGUAAAGCGAGCGCAGGCGGAUUGAUAAGUCUGAUGUGAAAGCCCACGGCUCAACCGUGGAACUGCAUCGGAAACUGUCAUUCUUGAGUGCAGAAGAGGAGAGUGGAAUUCCAUGUGUAGCGGUGGAAUGCGUAGAUAUAUGGAAGAACACCAGUGGCGAAGGCGGCUCUCUGGUCUGCAACUGACGCUGAGGCUCGAAAGCAUGGGUAGCGAACAGG
Molecule: ribosomal RNA, 429 nt
Filed under: bacterium
Lineage: Bacteria
Description: partial 16S ribosomal RNA
Rfam family: Bacterial small subunit ribosomal RNA
Source: RNAcentral